UGGUACACAGCCCGUUAAAGAUGUCUGC
This 28-nucleotide non-coding RNA is filed under the name Homo sapiens (human). Lineage: Eukaryota; Metazoa; Chordata; Mammalia; Primates; Hominidae. The record is from RNAcentral.